Molecule: ribosomal RNA, 253 nt
Filed under: uncultured bacterium
Lineage: Bacteria
Description: partial 16S ribosomal RNA
Rfam family: Bacterial small subunit ribosomal RNA
Source: RNAcentral
GACGAAGGUGGCAAGCGUUGUUCGGAAUCACUGGGCAUAAAGCGCUCGUAGGCGGCAAUGUAAGUCGGAUGUGAAAUCCCUCGGCCUAACCGAGGAACUGCGUCCGAUACUGCGUAGCUUGGGGACCAAAGGGGUGCAUGGAAUUUCCGGUGGAGCGGUGAAAUGCGUUGAUAUCGGAAGGAACGUCGGCGGCGAAAGCGAUGCACUGGUUGGUUACCGACGCUGAGGAGCGAAAGCCAGGGGAGCAAACGGG